UCAAAUUCUGCCGUGCACACAAUCAAUAAUCGCCACUUUCUGUCUGCACCACGUUCUUCACGCUGGGCAGCGAGCCGGCAGAUCCUCCAUGCUUUGCCCGCCGCCGCGCCUCUGACCUCUCCUCCUCCUCCCCGCCCAGCCGGUGCCGCCGCCGCUGCUUCCCGCGGAAUAAUAAUAAAAAGUAGCCCCCGAUAAAACGGGCCGGCCGCCUCCCUCGGCCCCGACCCGCACGCCACGCGGGACUCACCCACCCUCCCCUUCCCUCGCCCCUCCCUCCCUCUCCCUCCCUAGGAUGCGCGCCUCCCCCCGCCUCCUCCGGCCGGAACCCUAGCCAGGCGUGCAGGCGCGCAGCAGGCGGGGCCCCCGCGCCGCGCCGCGCCGAGCCGAUGGGGAGGCCGGGGUACCUGACGCUGCCCAUCUUCGCGGUGCUCGCCGCGAUCGGCUACGUCUACUACACCACGGUCUUCGUCGCCGUCGCCGGCUGGCUCGGCCUCUCCACGGCCGCCGGGGUCGCCAACGCCGCCGCCUUCACGGCCCUCGCCGCCGCCUGCCUCGCCACCUACUACGCCGCCGUCUCCCGGGACCCCGGCCGGGUGCCGCCCGCCUUCCUGCCCGACGUCGAGGGCGCCGAGACCCCCGUCCACGAGGUCAAGCGCAAGGGUGGUGAUUUGAGAUACUGCCAGAAAUGUGGCCACUAUAAGCCCCCACGCGCACACCAUUGCCGUGUGUGCAAGAGAUGUGUUCUGAAAAUGGACCAUCACUGUAUUUGGAUUAAUAACUGUGUUGGGCACGAAAACUACAAGAUAUUCUUGGUCUUUGUAUUGUAUGCUGUAAUUGCAAGCUUCUAUUCAAUGAUUCUAAUUGUGGGGAGCGUCAUUCACAGUGCUCCGAAAGAUGAACAGUUAAGCAGUGAUUCUUCUAGAACAUUGAUUAUUAUUUGUGGGAUCAUUCUUUGUCCAUUAACUCUGGCGCUGUCGGUGCUCUUGGGCUGGCAUAUCCACCUCAUAUUACAGAAUAAAACUACAAUUGAGUACCAUGAAGGAGUUAGAGCAAUGUGGUUGGCAGAAAAGGGUGGAGACCUUUAUCAUCAUCCAUAUGACCUUGGUGUCUAUGAGAAUCUUAUUUCGGUGCUUGGGCGUAGCAUAUUCUGCUGGCUCUGCCCAGUAUCAGUCAAUACAGGCAAUGGCCUACGGUUCCGUGCAUCAUAUGAUAUUUUACCAUCUACACCGCCAUGUGAUUUACAAAAGAUAGCAUUACAUUCACAUUGAGGUACAUAGUUGCUAAUAUGAGAAAGGGGAUUGAUAUUCCUAUUCAAGUGCCCAAAGUAUACCAUUUCUGAGCCAUUUCGGAUCGUAACAGGUUAGCGGAUACUUCUUAAAACCCUCAAAUGUAAGAUAUGAGAAAAGAUGCCUCCGGAUCCAGAAGUAUUUCCACCUCUCCAGGGUUUCGUUUUGAGAUGGUCGUAUUUCCAGUAUGAGGAAGAUGACUGCUGCCUCAGCUCAUAAUCCGGUCUCAGCUGUGUUUGUACACAAAAAGCUUAACCCUUCGUGUUGUAAAGUAAAUGUACAUGCUGUGUUCGGAAGCAAAAGCAUAUCAAAGCAAAUUUUGCUGAGAUGCACGUCUGUUCAGAAGUAAAUGUCACAUGUGCUGUAUACAUCUGCAAUUACAUUAUCAGACACGGAAAUGUCAUUGCUGUGCAGUAAAAAUGACUCGGUCAGAAGAGUUGACAUUUCAUAUCUUGUGUAAAAGCCAGGAGAAGAUUGCUGUAAUUAUUUAGUGUUUUCAGUACGGCUGGUGCUGGGCAACAUAGGCCAUGUAGCAUCCCCCAAAGCACAGUAGCCAAUAAGCAAUCUUCUUGCAGUCUGAUGCUUCGUGCAGAUUAUUUUCUAGGUUACAACAGUCGGCACUCAGCAGCAAAUGCAACUACUAAUACAUCAGUUGGGAGUAAUCUAUUUGCCCUUUCCUUUUCCCUUGCCCUUCUUGGCGUCAAGUUUGGCUUGCACACGAGCCGCUGCCGCGGCCUUUGCCUCCUCCCUCUUCUUCUUCUCUUCCUCUUUGGUGGCAGCAGCCAGCUCCCGCUGUUUCUUAAGCUCCCUAUCAAAAUUUAUGCAUAAAAAAUCAUGUACUUUUUAACAAUCACAAGGAUGCUACAAAAUGGAUAAUAGACAUGAUACGUAGCUCUCAAGAAUUCCAAUAUGAUGUCCCACGCUGUUUAACAUAAUUAUUGGGUACUAACUUCUGUAUUAGAAAAAAAAUGCCAAAACUGGCUUAACUGUACUACUGACCAAAAACACAGCAAAAGCUCCACUAACCCCAUAGAAACAGAAAAAAAAGGGCAAAAACACUUGAAAAUGGAGGAUUAAAAAAGCUAUGGUUGUCUAGAGAUGUUAUGGGGUGGACGAGCAUUCAGAGGCCGAGUUCUGAACUCCUUAGCUCCCUGCCAAGUGCCAACCUCCACAGAUCAGCUUCAUUGAGGAUUUUGUCGACCACCAUCUGAUUAUUGGGUACUUGAUGCGUUAAAUAUAAAAGAGGAAACACUUGGAGAUGUCUUACUCUAGCCUGGCUUUCUCAUCAGAUACACUGCCCAGACUUGAACCUUUCCUUGGCUUGCAAGCAACUAAUUCCACCUCAAAAAUGAGUGUUGCACUGCAGAAACAAAGCAAACCUUGUUACAGAAACUUCUGGCCUCGGGAUGCUUACAACUUCAGUCAAUCAAGAGGUGAAAUGGCAAACAAACUUCGCUGGUAUCUCUGGCGGCGAGCCUGGACUUCCAUACGCAUAUUCCGGCCUGCAUGUUAUUUUUGCAAUCUCGCCAACCUUCAACAUGCCG
Molecule: ribosomal RNA, 2830 nt
Filed under: Triticum aestivum (bread wheat)
Lineage: Eukaryota; Viridiplantae; Streptophyta; Magnoliopsida; Poales; Poaceae
Description: partial small subunit ribosomal RNA
Source: RNAcentral